RNAcentral lists this ribosomal RNA (751 nucleotides) under uncultured Actinomyces sp. RNAcentral's name for it is "bacterial SSU rRNA". It matches the Rfam family "Bacterial small subunit ribosomal RNA", at positions 28 to 776 of the family's 1533-position model. The record is from RNAcentral. Lineage: Bacteria; Bacillati; Actinomycetota; Actinomycetes; Actinomycetales; Actinomycetaceae.
GACGAACGCUGGCGGCGUGCUUAACACAUGCAAGUCGAACGCUGAAGCCUAGCUUGCUGGGUGGAUGAGUGGCGAACGGGUGAGUAACACGUGAGUAACCUGCCCUCUUCUUUGGGAUAACGCCCGGAAACGGGUGCUAAUACUGGAUAUUCACUGAUCUUCGCAUGGGGGUUGGUGGAAAGGUUUUUUCUGGUGGGGGAUGGGCUCGCGGCCUAUCAGCUUGUUGGUGGGGUGAUGGCCUACCAAGGCUUUGACGGGUAGCCGGCCUGAGAGGGUGACCGGUCACAUUGGGACUGAGAUACGGCCCAGACUCCUGCGGGAGGCAGCAGUGGGGAAUAUUGCACAAUGGGCGAAAGCCUGAUGCAGCGACGCCGCGUGAGGGAUGGAGGCCUUCGGGUUGUAAACCUCUUUCGCUCAUGGUCAAGCCGCAGCUUUGGGUUGUGGUGAGGGUAGUGGGUAAAGAAGCGCCGGCUAACUACGUGCCAGCAGCCGCGGUAAUACGUAGGGCGCGAGCGUUGUCCGGAAUUAUUGGGCGUAAAGGGCUUGUAGGCGGUUGGUCGCGUCUGCCGUGAAAUCCUCUGGCUUAACUGGGGGCGUGCGGUGGGUACGGGCUGACUUGAGUGCGGUAGGGGAGACUGGAACUCCUGGUGUAGCGGUGGAAUGCGCAGAUAUCAGGAAGAACACCGGUGGCGAAGGCAGGUCUCUGGGCCGUUACUGACGCUGAGGAGCGAAAGCGUGGGGAGCGAACAGG